RNAcentral lists this ribosomal RNA (419 nucleotides) under uncultured bacterium. RNAcentral's name for it is "bacterial SSU rRNA". It matches the Rfam family "Bacterial small subunit ribosomal RNA", at positions 958 to 1392 of the family's 1533-position model. The record is from RNAcentral.
AACGCGAAGAACCUUACCAGGGUUUGACAUGCAAUCGCACCGCCGAGAGAUCGGCGUACCUGCAAGGGACGGUUGCACAGGUGCUGCAUGGCUGUCGUCAGUUCGUGUCGUGAGAUGUUGGGUUAAGUCCCGCAACGAGCGCAACCCCUGUCGUCGGUUACAAGUGUCCGGCGAAACUGCCAAUCAAAAUGGAGGAAGGAGGGGAUGACGUCAAGUCAGCACGGCCCUUACGUCCUGGGCGACACACACGCUACAAUGGCCGGUACAAAGGGUGGCCAACCCGCGAGGGGGAGCUAAUCCCGCCAAAAUCGGUCUCAGUUCAGAUUGUAGGCUGCAACCCGCCUGCAUGAAGUUGGAGUUGCUAGUAACCGUAGGUCAGCACACUACGGUGAAUACGUUCCCGGGUCUUGUACACACCG